CGUCGACCAGCGUGCGGAAACGCGGGCUCGUUUCGGCCGUGCCGGUGAGGCUUGCGGAAUCGCCGGUCACCAGGUCGCGGCCGGCCCCGGCGUC
RNAcentral lists this transfer RNA (94 nucleotides) under Roseisalinus antarcticus. RNAcentral describes it as "tRNA-Arg". The record is from RNAcentral. Lineage: Bacteria; Pseudomonadati; Pseudomonadota; Alphaproteobacteria; Rhodobacterales; Roseobacteraceae.